AUAAAUCAUUUGAAAAACAUAUAUCAUAAACUUUAUGAAAUAAAUCAAAACUUUGAAUCAAAACACCAAACCUUUUUGUUCUUGGCAAGAACAUCAAGAACAAUGAAGAACAUCCAUGAAAAACCCAAAAAUUUUUCCAUGAACUUUUUUUACCCAAAAAACAUUCCAAAACCAUUCUUACUUAAGGGAAAUAACAUCUAACCAAACUAGGGUACUUAGGGAUUCCAAAGAACACAUUAAAACACUUUUAACAAGUCAAACAAGAACCCAAAAUUCCACCCUUUGGAUUUGGCCGAAUUUUCCCAAAAGCAUGGCACCAAAUUUUAGCUCCAAUAUUCAUGCUCAUA
This 347-nucleotide long non-coding RNA is filed under the name Malus domestica (apple). RNAcentral describes it as "long non-coding RNA (MDOM_LNC001570)". Lineage: Eukaryota; Viridiplantae; Streptophyta; Magnoliopsida; Rosales; Rosaceae. The record is from RNAcentral.